This 460-nucleotide ribosomal RNA is filed under the name uncultured Desulfocapsa sp. RNAcentral describes it as "bacterial SSU rRNA". It matches the Rfam family "Bacterial small subunit ribosomal RNA", at positions 920 to 1382 of the family's 1533-position model. Lineage: Bacteria; Pseudomonadati; Thermodesulfobacteriota; Desulfobulbia; Desulfobulbales; Desulfocapsaceae. The record is from RNAcentral.
CCCGCACAAGCGGUGGAGCAUGUGGUUAAUUCGAUGGUACACGAGGAACCUUACCUGGGUUUGACAUGCACAGGAAUACGGCAGAGAUGUCGUAGUCCCGCAAGGGAUCGGUGACAGGUGCUGCAUGGCUGUCGUCAGCUCGUGUCGUGAGAUGUUGGGUUAAGUCCCGCAACGAGCGCAACCCUUGUCCUUAGUUGCCACCAUUCAGUUGGGCACUCUAAGGAGACUGCCGGUGUUAAACCGGAGGAAGGUGGGGAUGACGUCAAGUCCUCAUGGCCUUUAUGACCAGGGCUACACACGUACUACAAUGGCCGGUACAAAGGGCAGCCACUUAGCGAUAAGGAGCCAAUCCCGUAAAGCCGGUCUCAGUCCGGAUUGGAGUCUGCAACUCGACUCCAUGAAGUUGGAAUCGCUAGUAAUCGCAGAUCAGCACGCUGCGGUGAAUACGUUCCCGGGCCUU